This 179-nucleotide long non-coding RNA is filed under the name Cavia porcellus (domestic guinea pig). Its description in RNAcentral is "lncRNA (ENSCPOG00000034372.1)". Lineage: Eukaryota; Metazoa; Chordata; Mammalia; Rodentia; Caviidae. The record is from RNAcentral.
UCUGUGCCCCUUUGCUCCCAGCUGCUGUAUGUCCACAGCUGUUUGAUCACCUGGUGCCCAGUGGCCAGCAUCGUUUCUGCUCCUCCCCUACGGAACUCACAGCCAGGAUUACAGUGGCGAUCUAUGAAAUCAGAAGUGAAAGAAUGCAAAAUGGCCUUAUGUGUACUGGAAAGCUGGAG